RNAcentral lists this ribosomal RNA (492 nucleotides) under uncultured bacterium. Its description in RNAcentral is "partial 16S ribosomal RNA". It matches the Rfam family "Bacterial small subunit ribosomal RNA", at positions 29 to 507 of the family's 1533-position model. The record is from RNAcentral.
AGUGAACGCUGGCGGUAGGCCUAACACAUGCAAGUCGAACGGCAGCACAGUAAGAGCUUGCUCUUACGGGUGGCGAGUGGCGGACGGGUGAGGAAUACAUCGGAAUCUACUUUGUCGGGGGGGAUAACGGAGGGAAACUUACGCUAAUACCGCAUACGACCUACGGGUGAAAGCAGGGGAUCUUCGGACCUUGCGCGAUUGUAUGAGCCGAUUUCGGAUUAGCUAGUUGGCGGGGUAAAGGCCCACCAAGGCGACGAUCCGUAGCUGGUCUGAGAGGAUGAUCAGCCACACUGGAACUGAGACACGGUCCAGACUCCUACGGGAGGCAGCAGUGGGGAAUAUUCGACAAUGGGCGCAAGCCUGAUCCAGCCAUACCGCGUGGGUGAAGAAGGCCUUCGGGUUGUAAAGCCCUUUUAUUGGGAAAGAAAAGCAGCAGGUUAAUCCCCCGCUGUUCUGACGGUACCCAAAGAAUAAGCACCGGCUAACUUCGUG